Molecule: ribosomal RNA, 253 nt
Filed under: uncultured bacterium
Lineage: Bacteria
Description: partial 16S ribosomal RNA
Rfam family: Bacterial small subunit ribosomal RNA
Source: RNAcentral
UACGUAGGGCGCGAGCGUUGUCCGGAAUUAUUGGGCGUAAAGAGCUCGUAGGUGGCUUGUUGCGUCUGCCGUGAAAGCCCGUGGCUUAACUACGGGUCUGCGGUGGAUACGGGCAGGCUAGAGGCUGGUAGGGGCAAGCGGAAUUCCUGGUGUAGCGGUGAAAUGCGUAGAUAUCUGGAGGAACACCGGUGGCGAAGGCGGCAUCCUGGACCGACACUGACGCUGAGGAGCGAAAGCCAGGGGAGCAAACGGG